CGACCCUGAACACUGCCUUGGCACAGGAAGCAUAUGACAAAGAUGUCACAAUAAAAUGAGACGAGACGAAGUGUAUAAAACCUGUAGCGAGAAAUGUCCAGCCGACAAUAGUGGAGUCCCUUGAGAUAAUGAGCAGAUCGCGAACUGAAAGUUUGGUGAACAAUAGACUUGAUUGGGAACCCUCGAUGGCAUGGAAAUAUAGCAUGUGUAAUAAAAGGGAAGAAAGGAAUGAAAUAGCAGAAUUACCGACAAGAAAUAGCCAGUUAGAAAGGGGACCGAGAGCAUCAAGAAGGGAGGAAAGGGGGGAUCAUGAACAGAGAAGGAAGGAUAAUACUAUGCGGCGUAAAACCUAGUAGAAUAAUGGGAACUAUUUUUCGAUGUC
RNAcentral lists this long non-coding RNA (382 nucleotides) under Androctonus crassicauda. Lineage: Eukaryota; Metazoa; Arthropoda; Arachnida; Scorpiones; Buthidae. The record is from RNAcentral.